GCCAGGCAUGGUGGCGGGUGCCUGUAAUCCCAGCUACUCAGGAGGCUGAGGCAGGAGAAUCGCUUGAGCCCAGGAGGCAGAGGUUGCAGUGAGCUGAGAUCACGCCACUGCACUCUAGCCUGGGCAACAAAGCAAGAUUCUGUUUCAA
RNAcentral lists this signal recognition particle RNA (148 nucleotides) under Nomascus leucogenys (northern white-cheeked gibbon). RNAcentral describes it as "Metazoan signal recognition particle RNA". It matches the Rfam family "Metazoan signal recognition particle RNA". Rfam says of the family: The signal recognition particle (SRP) is a universally conserved ribonucleoprotein. It is involved in the co-translational targeting of proteins to membranes. Lineage: Eukaryota; Metazoa; Chordata; Mammalia; Primates; Hylobatidae. The record is from Rfam by way of RNAcentral.